GCGGGAAAAGCUCAAAUUUGUAAUCUGGCGUCUACGACGUCCGAGUUGUAAUCUCGAGAAGUGUUUUCCGUGAUAGACCGCAUACAAGUCUCUUGGAACAGAGCGUCAUAGUGGUGAGAACCCAGUACACGAUGCGGAUGCCUAUUACUUUGUGAUACACUUUCGAAGAGUCGAGUUGUUUGGGAAUGCAGCUCAAAUUGGGUGGUAAAUUCCAUCUAAAGCUAAAUAUUGGCGAGAGACCGAUAGCGAACAAGUACCGUGAGGGAAAGAUGAAAAGCACUUUGGAAAGAGAGUUAACAGUACGUGAAAUUGUUGGAAGGGAAACACAUGCAGCCAGACUUGCUAUUCGGGGCAACUCGAUUGGCAGGCCCGCAUCAGUUUUUCGGGGCGGAAAAGCAUAGAGAGAAGGUAGCAAUUUCGGUUGUGUUAUAGCUCUUUAUUGGAUUCGCCCUGGGGGACUGAGGAACG
RNAcentral lists this ribosomal RNA (468 nucleotides) under Sporobolomyces sp. EPA_3_Y10. RNAcentral describes it as "eukaryotic LSU rRNA". It matches the Rfam family "Eukaryotic large subunit ribosomal RNA", at positions 98 to 595 of the family's 3401-position model. Lineage: Eukaryota; Fungi; Basidiomycota; Microbotryomycetes; Sporidiobolales; Sporidiobolaceae. The record is from RNAcentral.